This 80-nucleotide small nucleolar RNA is filed under the name Carlito syrichta (Philippine tarsier). RNAcentral's name for it is "Small nucleolar RNA SNORD115 (ENSTSYG00000037577.1)". It matches the Rfam family "Small nucleolar RNA SNORD115". Rfam says of the family: HBII-52 is a member of the C/D class of snoRNAs, which contain the C (UGAUGA) and D (CUGA) box motifs. HBII-52 is encoded in a tandemly repeated array with another C/D snoRNA, HBII-85, in the Prader-Willi syndrome (PWS) region of chromosome 15. Lineage: Eukaryota; Metazoa; Chordata; Mammalia; Primates; Tarsiidae. The record is from Rfam by way of RNAcentral.
GGUCAAUGAUGAGAUCUUGGCCUGGUCAUUAGAGAGGUGUUGUCUUAAAAGUCAUGCACAAUAGAGCUACACUGAGGACC